This 606-nucleotide ribosomal RNA is filed under the name uncultured bacterium. Its description in RNAcentral is "bacterial SSU rRNA". It matches the Rfam family "Bacterial small subunit ribosomal RNA", at positions 35 to 649 of the family's 1533-position model. The record is from RNAcentral.
GCUGGCGGUGCGCCUUAUGCAUGCAAGUCGAGCGAAGCUUUUCAGUAGUUUACUACUGAAAAUGACUGAGCGGCGAACGGGUGAGUAACGCGUGAGCAAUCUACCUUAGUUACAGGGAUAGCCCGAGGAAACUCGGAUUAAUACCUGAUAUUCUUUACAUUUCGCAUGAAAUUAAAAGGAAAGGUCAGCCGAACUAAGAUGAGCUCGCGUUCUAUCAGCUAGUUGGUGAGGUAAAAGCUCACCAAGGCAACGACGGAUAGCUGGUCUGAGAGGACGAUCAGCCACACUGGGACUGAGACACGGCCCAGACUCCUACGGGAGGCUGCAGCAGGGAAUAUUGUGCAAUGAACGAAAGUUUGACACAGCGACACCGCGUGUGGGAUGACGGAUCUAGGUUUGUAAACCACUUUCAGGAGGGAAGAAAAUGACGGUACCUCCACAAGAAGCCCCGGCCAACUACGUGCCAGCAGCCGCGGUAAUACGUAGGGGGCGAGCGUUGUCCGGAUUUAUUGGGCGUAAAGAGCUCGUAGGCGGUUCAACAAGUCGGUCGUAAAAGUUCAGGGCUCAACCCUGAAAUGUCGAUCGAUACUGUUGUGACUAGGAUAC